Molecule: long non-coding RNA, 2523 nt
Filed under: Triticum aestivum (bread wheat)
Lineage: Eukaryota; Viridiplantae; Streptophyta; Magnoliopsida; Poales; Poaceae
Description: long non-coding RNA (TAES_LNC018372)
Source: RNAcentral
UCUGACCUCUCUGCCCCGCGUCUGCUGUUGAAAAGGUGAAUUUGUAGUAGAAAUGGAAGUAGAUAUGUGAAGUGGAAAUUUAAUUGGGCAGUGCUACACCUUCACAAUAGUGUGCAACAUCCACAUUCGCCUGAAAGGGAGAGGGAAGGUUAAAAAGUUCAGGUUCUGUUAACUGAACAUGUUCAGGUUCAGGUUCUGUUAACUGAAAAAGUUUAGAUUCAGAAACAUUGUUGGACUGAUAGGAAGUUUGUUGAACAGAGAAAUCUAUACCUGUAAUUUCUACUGUUAUGCCUUUGUUACUCCAGUCAAAAUUUUCCUGUCAAAAUUUUCAGUCAAGCACAACUGAUCAUGUAACUUGAGAAGAUUACUCCAGAUUUUGGAACUAAUCAAUUACUCCAGAUUCUGUCAAUUACUUGUGUCAAUUAAUCAUGUCAAUGAAUAAUUACUCGAGUAGGUAGGACAUGGGUAUAGGCAAGUUAUAAAAUUGCAGUUGUGUCAAUUACUUGAAGCAAUACGUAGUUAAACUGAGAUAGCUCACAGUAUUUGUCUGCAACCUAUGCCAUGUCCUUGUCAGGUAGACUGCUCUUCUGUCCCUCCUUUGGAAUGUGAAGUCCACUGGAAAUGAGCACAAGUCAGGUCCGUCAAACUAAGAUUAGUCGAAAGCAACAGAAGAGCACUAACCAACCAAAGUUCCACUAGAAUUAGGCUACUAGAGAGGAAAUAAACAAGUGUGCACCAUUUGUCCAAUUGCAAACAUGCCUAAAGUUUCCAAUUGCAAACUAGGAUUAUUUGAAUCAUUUGAAUUUAUUUGAUUUAUUUGGAUUUAUACACCAUUUGUCCAAUUGCAAACAUGCCUAAAGUUUCCAAUUGUCCAAUUUCAGUCAUUCAUUUUAGUCCAAUUUUGUCUUCUUAUUUCUAGCACACUGACACAGAAGAUUUUUGCUCUGAUUCACUUUUAGUCUAAAAAAAGACAUGGCACACUAGAGAAAAAAGAAGAAGAAAAAAGAAAUCAUGCCUUGCUGAAGAAAAAAGAAAAAAGAAAUGUUACAAUGUUGUCACAGUAAUUACUUGAUCAAAAUAAUUAUGUCCUUAACUGAAUAAACUUGAUUUAGUUAACUGAAUAAACUUGAUUUAAGUAUAUUCUUACAGAAACUUUGCCUACUUUUGUGUACUAAGGAACUGAAAACAUGAUCCUCCUCCUACAUUAUGUAUAUCCAUCCAUUUUCUUUUGGCCACAACAAGAAAGAUCUCCUUUCAUCUUUUGUACUCUUGGUAUGAUUUUCUAGACAUAGCCCUAAAAUCUCUAAACACUCUUCUGACAAGCAAUACUUCUAAAACUAUGCAUAAAAGAUUAAAAAAAAACAUAAAUUGGAAAACAAGCAAUACUUCUAAAACCAGUUGCAAGCAAAUGUACAGUAAAAUAAAAUGAUCCCAUAGUGUACUUAAUUCAGAACACAUGGAAGAAACUUGACUAAAUGUCCAGAUUUUGGAAAAAAAAUCCAAGUUAACUAAAUGACUGAUUCAAUUUCAGGCAACUUGGAGAAGAGAUCGUUUGAUCAUUGACUGUACUUAAUUCAGAACACAUGGAAGAAACUUGUUAGAAACUGAAACGGUUAAUAUUGAGAAUUAAGUUACUCUAAAUGGAGUACCAAAUUUUGAGAACAAGCCAUCUGAAAAGAGCACUAGCUAAGAUCUAAUCCUUAUGUCCAGUUAACCACUAAUUUACUGUAACCAAUGUUCAGAGACAAAUCAGACUUGACAGUAAAGAUCAAAAUUUCAGACUUGACAGUAAAUAUAGUGGAAACUGAAGAUUAUUUAGGAACACACUUGUUCCUAAACUUGAUGUUGAUUUAGCAACACAGUCUUUAGUGAGAGUAUAAAAAAUAACUACUCCAUCUACUUAAGUGAUUCUACAGUAAACCAGAACAAGUUGAUUGCAAACUUGACACAUAAAUAAAAUUUGACAUCAAUGAAAUUUAGACUAUGAAUGCCUGCCCAUGACAUCUGCAUGGUUCUCUACACCACACACCAUCAACACUGCUAGCUACUCCUACUCGAUCGUCCCAGCUUUUGCCACGGACAGCAAGAACCUAACACGUUCUCCACCUAGCAGCUAGCUAGGAUGGCCAUGAAUCCUCUCUCCCAGGAGCGCCCCAAUGCAUGGCCAUGGGGGUUGGCCAUGUACACGAACCUGGACUACUGAUUUGAACUCUUAACACUACUGAAAACAAAAUUCAGUGAACAUACACUCCAGAAAAUUCAGCCAGAAAAUUCAGUGACUGCAGAACAUACACUCCAGAAAAUUUUCAGUGAUCUUGUACUCAAUUUUACAGUGAACUUGCUAAAGAAGCUCCCAAGCUUCAAGAUAGACUAAAUUUGGCAGCUAAUGUACUCAAAAGAAGCAUUUUGGAGUACAAGAAGGGGAAAGCGGGAGGCAAGAAGAGGGGGGAGCCGCACCUUGGCAAGAGGGGGGCGAGGGGACUGGGUUGGGCCAUGGGCAGACGGAGGCGGGGGCGAGUGCCU